ACAGAGGGGGCAAGCGUUAUUCGGAAUUAUCGGGCGUAAAGGGCGCGUAGGCGGUGAUUUAAGUGAGAUGUGCAAUCCCCGGGCUUAACCUGGGAACUGCAUCUCAGACUGGGUCGCUAGAGUGCUGGAGAGGGUGGUGGAAUUCCACGUGGAGCGGUGAAAUGCGGAGAGAUGGGGAGGAGCAGCAGAGGCGAAGGCAGCCAACUGGACAGCAACUGAGGCUGAGGCGCGAAAGUGUGGGGAGCAAAAAG
Molecule: ribosomal RNA, 251 nt
Filed under: uncultured prokaryote
Description: partial 16S rRNA
Rfam family: Bacterial small subunit ribosomal RNA
Source: RNAcentral